AUUGAACGCUGGCGGCAUGCUUUACACAUGCAAGUCGAACGGCAGCGCGGGCUUCGGCCUGGCGGCGAGUGGCGAACGGGUGAGUAAUACAUCGGAACGUGCCCAGUUGUGGGGGAUAGCUCGGCGAAAGCCGGAUUAAUACCGCAUACGACCUGAGGGUGAAAGCGGGGGAUCUUCGGACCUCGCGCUAUUGGAGCGGCCGAUGGCAGAUUAGCUAGUUGGUGGGGUAAAGGCCUACCAAGGCGACGAUCUGUAGCUGGUCUGAGAGGACGACCAGCCACACUGGGACUGAGACACGGCCCAGACUCCUACGGGAGGCAGCAGUGGGGAAUUUUGGACAAUGGGCGAAAGCCUGAUCCAGCAAUGCCGCGUGUGGGAUGAAGGCCUUCGGGUUGUAAAGCACUUUUGGCGGGAACGAAAAGGACUGUGCCAAUACCACGGUUGGAUGACGGUACCCGCAGAAUAAGCACCGGCUAACUACGUG
This 484-nucleotide ribosomal RNA is filed under the name uncultured bacterium. RNAcentral describes it as "partial 16S ribosomal RNA". It matches the Rfam family "Bacterial small subunit ribosomal RNA", at positions 29 to 507 of the family's 1533-position model. The record is from RNAcentral.